UACGUAGGGGGCAAGCGUUGUCCGGAAUCAUUGGGCGUAAAGCGCGCGUAGGCGGCCCGGUAAGUCCGUUGUGAAAGUCAAAGGCUCAACCUUUGAACGCCGAUGGAUACUGCCGGGCUAGAGUCCGGAAGAGGAGAAUGGAAUUCCUGGUGUAGCGGUGAAAUGCGCAGAUAUCAGGAAGAACACCCGUGGCGAAGGCGGUUCUCUGGGACGGUACUGACGCUGAGACGCGAAAGCGUGGGGAGCGAACAGG
This 253-nucleotide ribosomal RNA is filed under the name uncultured bacterium. Its description in RNAcentral is "partial 16S ribosomal RNA". It matches the Rfam family "Bacterial small subunit ribosomal RNA", at positions 524 to 776 of the family's 1533-position model. The record is from RNAcentral.